RNAcentral lists this ribosomal RNA (440 nucleotides) under uncultured bacterium. Its description in RNAcentral is "partial 16S ribosomal RNA". It matches the Rfam family "Bacterial small subunit ribosomal RNA", at positions 338 to 795 of the family's 1533-position model. The record is from RNAcentral.
ACUACGGGAGGCAGCAGUGGGGAAUAUUGCACAAUGGGGGGAACCCUGAUGCAGCGACGCCGCGUGAGUGAAGAAGUAUUUCGGUAUGUAAAGCUAUAUCAGCAGGGAAGAAAAUGACGGUACCUGACUAAGAAGCCCCGGCUAACUACGUGCCAGCAGCCGCGGUAAUACGUAGGGGGCAAGCGUUAUCCGGAUUUACUGGGUGGAAAGGGAGCGCAGACGGCGGUGCAAGUCUGGAGUGAAAGGGGGGGGCCCAACCCCCGGACUGCUCUGGAAACUGUAAAGCUGGAGUGCAGGAGAGGUAAGCGGAAUUCCUAGUGUAGCGGUGAAAUGCGUAGAUAUUAGGAGGAACACCAGUGGCGAAGGCGGCUUACUGGACUGCAACUGACGUUGAGGCUCGAAAGCGUGGGGAGCAAACAGGAUUAGAUACCCGGGUAGUC